This 245-nucleotide long non-coding RNA is filed under the name Malus domestica (apple). RNAcentral's name for it is "long non-coding RNA (MDOM_LNC018584)". Lineage: Eukaryota; Viridiplantae; Streptophyta; Magnoliopsida; Rosales; Rosaceae. The record is from RNAcentral.
UUAGAGAGAAAUGGAGAGACAAGUUCUCACCAAUUUUCUCCAAAACAAACCCUUAAUGAUUUUUGGCUAUAAAGUCAUAUUUAUACCUUUAUUCAUUUGAGUGGCAAACUUGUAAAUAAGUCCAAGUUCACUACCCUAACCAAUAUGGCCGGCCAUUAGGAUAUUUUGGACUAAUUGGGCAUUUGUGAAUCAUUAUUCAUUAAGUUGUCAUACAACUUAUGUUAAUGGGCUUGACGUUCGAAGCC